This 749-nucleotide ribosomal RNA is filed under the name uncultured archaeon. RNAcentral's name for it is "bacterial SSU rRNA". It matches the Rfam family "Archaeal small subunit ribosomal RNA", at positions 170 to 922 of the family's 1478-position model. The record is from RNAcentral.
CUGGAAUGGUUCAUGGCCGAAAUCUAUAUGGCCUUUGGAUUGGACUGCGGCCGAUCAGGCUGUUGGUGAGGUAAUGGCCCACCAAACCUGUUACCGGUACGGGCUCUGAGAGGAGGAGCCCGGAGAUGGGCACUGAGACAAGGGCCCAGGCCCUAUGGGGCGCAGCAGGCGCGAAACCUCUGCAAUAGGCGAAAGCUUGACAGGGUUACUCUGAGUGAUUUCCGUUAAGGAGAUCUUUUGACACCUCUAAAAAGGGUGCAGAAUAAGGGGUGGGCAAGUCUGGUGUCAGCCGCCGCGGUAAUACCAGCACCCCGAGUGGUCGGGACGAUUAUUGGGCCUAAAGCAUCCGUAGCCGGUUCUGCAAGUCCCCCGUUAAAUCCAGCUGCUCAACAGAUGGGCCGCGGAGGAUACUACAGAGCUAGGAGGCAGGAGAGGCAAGCGGUACUCAGUGGGUAGGGGUAAAAUCCGUUGAUCCAUUGAAGACCACCAGUGGCGAAGGCGGCUUGCCAGAAUGCGCUCGACGGUGAGGGAUGAAAGCUGGGGGAGCAAACCGGAUUAGAUACCCGGGUAGUCCCAGCUGUAAACGAUGCAGACUCGGUGAUGGGCUAGCCUUGUGCCAGCCCAGUGCCGCAGGGAAGCCGUUAAGUCUGCCGCCUGGGGAGUACGGUCGCAAGACUGAAACUUAAAGGAGUUGGCGGGGGAGCACCACAAGGGGUGAAGCCUGCGGUUCAAUUGGACUCAACGCCGGA